GAACAUCUAUUAACCAUAUUGAAGAGUUCCUGUUUAUUCUAACAGACAUGUAUUACCAUACUUUAUACAUUUGUUAUUUCAUCUGGUGAAUUGUUGUCAAAAAAAGAAGAUAAUUCUACAAUUAAGGGCUGCUAAAUGAAUUGUUGAUGCUGUUCCAGGAGAUAGUGGAACAUUAGGCAGGUCACUGUGAUGGGGUUAUAACAGUAUUGUUCAUCCCAAGUAACAGUAUAAAUAUGAUACAUUAAAGGUCACCGGAAAAGCAUCAAUUUUUUUUUAAAUAAUGCAAGUAAUUAUGUCAACAUAUCCUUUCCAUAAGUAUAACCCGAGCCCGAACGUCAAUAAUACCUGCAACAGUUGCUGGGAAUGACACCUCUCUUCACGUUAGUGUUAUCAAAGAAGAAAAAUCUUUACAGUUAUUGAUUUUUAAAAUGAAGCCAUUCUGUUUCUUUGAAACUGUUGAGAAAAUGACAGAGGAAAAAGUGUUAAGAAAAAAACCUAUUGUGUUAUCUAAAGCUUUUAAUCAAUAAACAGAAUGAAAUGGG
Molecule: long non-coding RNA, 542 nt
Organism: Patella vulgata (common limpet)
Lineage: Eukaryota; Metazoa; Mollusca; Gastropoda; Patellidae
Exons: 4
Source: RefSeq, a predicted model, not a curated record